GACGAACGCUGGCGGCGUGCUUAACACAUGCAAGUCGAACGGAAAGGCCCCCUUGUGGGGUACUCGAGUGGCGAACGGGUGAGUAACACGUGAGUAACCUACCCUUGACUUUGGGAUAACUUCAGGAAACUGGGGCUAAUACCGGAUAGGAGCUCCUGCUGCAUGGUGGGGGUUGGAAAGUUUCGGCGGUUGGGGAUGGACUGUCGGCUGAUCAGCUUGUUGGUGGGGUAGUGGCUAACCAAGGCUUAGACGGGUAGCCGGCCUGAGAGGGUGACCGGCCACAUUAGGACUGAGAUACGGCCCAGACUCCUACGGGAGGCAGCAGUGGGGAGUAUUGCACAAUGGGCGGGAGCCUGAUGCAGCAACGCCGCGUGCGGGAUGACGGCCUUCGGGUUGUAAACCGCUGUCGCCUGUGACGAAGCGUGAGUGACGGUAAUGGGUAAAGAAGCACCGGCUAACUACGUG
Molecule: ribosomal RNA, 465 nt
Filed under: uncultured bacterium
Lineage: Bacteria
Description: partial 16S ribosomal RNA
Rfam family: Bacterial small subunit ribosomal RNA
Source: RNAcentral